UAUUAGAGGCAAUGCCUGCCCAGUG
Molecule: non-coding RNA, 25 nt
Filed under: Cricetulus griseus (Chinese hamster)
Lineage: Eukaryota; Metazoa; Chordata; Mammalia; Rodentia; Cricetidae
Source: RNAcentral